GCCUGAGUGGUGGAACUGGCAUACACGCGGCACUCAAAAUGCCGUGCCUCCGGGCUUGUGGGUUCGAAUCCCACCUCAGGUA
Molecule: transfer RNA, 82 nt
Filed under: Pelagirhabdus alkalitolerans
Lineage: Bacteria; Bacillati; Bacillota; Bacilli; Caryophanales; Bacillaceae
Rfam family: tRNA
About the family: Transfer RNA (tRNA) molecules are approximately 80 nucleotides in length. Their secondary structure includes four short double-helical elements and three loops (D, anti-codon, and T loops). Further hydrogen bonds mediate the characteristic L-shaped molecular structure. tRNAs have two regions of fundamental functional importance: the anti-codon, which is responsible for specific mRNA codon recognition, and the 3' end, to which the tRNAs corresponding amino acid is attached (by aminoacyl-tRNA synthetases). tRNAs cope with the degeneracy of the genetic code in two manners: having more than one tRNA (with a specific anti-codon) for a particular amino acid; and 'wobble' base-pairing, i.e. permitting non-standard base-pairing at the 3rd anti-codon position.
Source: Rfam by way of RNAcentral